Molecule: non-coding RNA, 691 nt
Filed under: Pan troglodytes (chimpanzee)
Lineage: Eukaryota; Metazoa; Chordata; Mammalia; Primates; Hominidae
Source: RNAcentral
UUACAGGCGUGAGCCACGGUGCCUGGCCCCAGGCCUUUUAGACUGAACUCAGACAUCACCUCCUUCAGAAAGCCUUCAUGAUGAGUGUUUGUGUCUGCCAGGCAUGGCACUAAGUGUCCCAUGGCACAUUUGGCCCUCAUGGAGGCCUCAAAAGGGCAGGACCAGCACGCUCUUCUACGGAGGAAGGAACGGGCACAGCAGGUACGUGAUGUGGUCAAAUUAACAAGAGGCAGAGGCCGGGGUGAGCCACUGCGCCUGAUCAAGGCAUCACCGUUGAACCUCCUAAGAGGAAAACAUAAGGCUGUGCAAUACCAGGAACUGGGAUUCUAGGUUGCCCCAGACACCAAGGCAUCAAAAGCCAGGGGAUCCAGAGAAAACACAGACAGCCAAGAGAGAAACUGCGGGAAAAGCCAAAAGGUUGAGAGCCACACCAUCUAGAAGCUUCCUGCCUGCGGUGCGGCACAGAAACAAGGAGAGUCAGCAAUUACCAGCCAGCCGAGGUCCUGGAAGCUGACGUAGAGCUCGUGCCGACGGCAGACCUGCCGGCCGUGGGAGCCGUGGACGUCAUCUGCAGGGACAGAAGGGGCAAGGUCUUUUCUGGGGUUCCUGCUGUGUGCAGCUACUAUGGGGUACCAGGGUGGGGGAUGCCCUGAUGAGCACAUUUGUCAAAUAAAUGAAUGACAGGAAACCA